Molecule: long non-coding RNA, 534 nt
Organism: Centruroides sculpturatus (bark scorpion)
Lineage: Eukaryota; Metazoa; Arthropoda; Arachnida; Scorpiones; Buthidae
Exons: 3
Source: RefSeq, a predicted model, not a curated record
UUGAUAUGCUUUGCAAUCUUUUGGCUGUGGAUUGUUACAGUAAUAUAUUUUCUUUACUUGACAAGAAUUCCUUCGAACAUGGAACGGUUUUUCACUUGCAUAAUGGACAUUUAUUUCCUUGACGAUGACAAUAACAGAAUCACGGAAGUAUUAAUGUCCAUAUCGAGAGGCGAAGUGGGAUUCAGAAGCAACAAUUUCUUUUUCUUCGACAAGCAAGCGGUUUUAAGUGUAAGUUUAAUAUCUCAUAUACUAUUUUAUAAUACGGUAUAUAUUGUUUCUACUAUUGUUUAAAUAUUGAUAUAAUAUUUUCUAUAAAAGUGUAUUUUGUUUCAGUACACUGUCGAAUUCAUCACACAAUUAAUUGCAUUUUCGAUAAUAAGAAGUAAAUCCACCACAAAUUAGUAGGUAUCCACCGGAUAUUUGACUGAUUCAAUUGACAGAUAAUAAUUGAAAAAUUCAGUUCGAUGCACUACGUCAACUGCAGCAAUAUUGCAGAUUUUGAAAUUAGACGUGAUGUUCAUAUUGUGAAAUCAA